GUCGCACGAGAAAGUGGAGCAAUCCAUGAGUAAAGUGGCGCACGGGUGAGUAACACGUGAAUUAUCUACCUCCGAGUGGGGAAUAACUGAGAGAAAUCUUAGCUAAUACCGCAUAACACUUACGAGUCAAAGCAGCAAUGCGCUUGGAGAGGAGUUCGCGGCCGAUUAGUUAGUUGGCGGGGUAAUGGCCCACCAAGACGAUGAUCGGUAUCCGGCCUGAGAGGGCGCACGGACACACUGGAACUGAAACACGGUCCAGACUCCUACGGGAGGCAGCAGUGGGGAAUUUUGCGCAAUGGGGGAAACCCUGACGCAGCAACGCCGCGUGGAGGAUGAAAUAUCUUGGUAUGUAAACUCCUUUCGAUGGGGAAGAUUAUGACGGUACCCAUAGAAGAAGCCCCGGCUAACUUCGUGCCAGCAGCCGCGGUAAUACGAGGGGGGCAAGCGUUGUUCGGAUUUAUUGGGCGUAAAGGGUGCGUAGGCGGUUAGGCAAGUCUUAUGUGAAAUCUUCGGGCUCAACCCGAAGCCUGCAUAAGAAACUGCCGGGCUUGAGUAUGGGAGAGGUGAGUGGAAUUUCCGGUGUAGCGGUGAAAUGCGUAGAUAUCGGAAGGAACACCUGUGGCGAAAGCGGCUCACUGGACCAUAACUGACGCUGAUGCACGAAAGCUAGGGGAGCAAACAGGAUUAGAUACCCUGGUAGUCCUAGCCCUAAACGAUGAUUGCUUGGUGUG
Molecule: ribosomal RNA, 731 nt
Filed under: uncultured Acidobacteriota bacterium
Lineage: Bacteria; Pseudomonadati; Acidobacteriota
Description: bacterial SSU rRNA
Rfam family: Bacterial small subunit ribosomal RNA
Source: RNAcentral